This 478-nucleotide unclassified non-coding RNA is filed under the name Didymostigma obtusum. RNAcentral describes it as "partial external transcribed spacer". The record is from RNAcentral. Lineage: Eukaryota; Viridiplantae; Streptophyta; Magnoliopsida; Lamiales; Gesneriaceae.
GAGACAAGCAUAUGACUACUGGCAGGAUCAACCAGGUAGCAAUCCAUGUCGACUUUUGGCACUGCAUGGACGAAGUCAAAACAACACCAAUUGUCAUUCGCACACGGCGUGGAACGCUUUGUUAGGGGCAAAUAGAGACCGGUGAUGCCUCGUACCCACGAGGUACUCCAUGACCGAAAGAACAAGCGCGGUGUCAUUGAUCCAACAACCAAAGAACAUUGAAGCGAUGGGUGUUGGAGCAUGACAUUUGCUUCCAAGUUCACCUCGUACCACAAACCAAAGGGCUCGCAGUGAAAGGAGAAAGGGUCAUUAAUCCAACGAAUUCCCAUUCUUUGGGUAUAGAACAUAGGAAACCAAGCUCGGCCAAGAUGUUUUUCCUUCUCUUGGACCGAUUACUGAAAAAGCAUGCCGGAUAUAUUUUCGUUGCGCAAGCAAGGACUCAACAUACCCAUACACACCAGCCACCACUCACGCGCUC